RNAcentral lists this ribosomal RNA (493 nucleotides) under uncultured bacterium. RNAcentral describes it as "partial 16S ribosomal RNA". It matches the Rfam family "Bacterial small subunit ribosomal RNA", at positions 29 to 523 of the family's 1533-position model. The record is from RNAcentral.
AUUGAACGCUGGCGGCAUGCUCUACACAUGCAAGUCGAACGGUAACAGGUUAAGCUGACGAGUGGCGAACGGGUGAGUAAUGCAUCGGAACGUGCCCGGUCGUGGGGGAUAACGCAGCGAAAGCUGCGCUAAUACCGCAUGCGAUCUGAGGAUGAAAGCGGGGGACCGUAAGGCCUCGCGCGAUCGGAGCGGCCGAUGUCAGAUUAGGUAGUUGGUGGGGUAAAGGCUCACCAAGCCAACGAUCUGUAGCUGGUCUGAGAGGACGACCAGCCAGACUGGGACUGGGACACGGACCAGACUCCUACGGGAGGCAGCAGUGGGGAAUUUUGGACAAUGGGCGAAAGCCUGAUCCAGCAAUGCCGCGUGCAGGAAGAAGGCCUUCGGGUUGUAAACUGCUUUUGUACGGAGCGAAAAGGUCUCCUCUAAUACAGGGGGCUCAUGACGGUACCGUAAGAAUAAGCACCGGCUAACUACGUGCCAGCCGCCGCAGUAA